CCCUUAGAUGUUCUGGGCGGCCCGCGCACUACACUGGCACUCUCAAUCAGAGUCUGGAUCUAACACUUUGGGGUAUUCUAUGAAGUGGUGUCGUGACUGGGAUUAACCCUUGCAAUUAUUGGUUACGAACGAGGAAUUCCUUGUAAUCGCGGUUUAUCAGCCCGCGUUGAAUGCGUCCCUGCCCUUUGUACACACCGCCCGUCGCUCCUACCGAUGGAUCGUCCGGUGAAGCUCAUGGAGGGGCGGUUGUCUCAGCUGCCGUCGAAGUGAAAUGGACCUCACGAUCUAGAGGAAGGAGAAGUCGUAACA
This 309-nucleotide ribosomal RNA is filed under the name uncultured eukaryote. RNAcentral describes it as "partial 18S ribosomal RNA". It matches the Rfam family "Eukaryotic small subunit ribosomal RNA", at positions 1470 to 1796 of the family's 1831-position model. The record is from RNAcentral.